CGCCUACGGGAGGCAGCAGUGAGGAAUAUUGGUCAAUGGCCGGAAGGCUGAACCAGCCAAGCCGCGUGAGGGAGGAAGGCGCAGAGCGUCGCAGACCUCUUUUGCCGGGGGACAAAAGGCCGGACUCGUCCGGUCCUGAGGGUACCCGGAGAAAAAGCAUCGGCUAACUCCGUGCCAGCAGCCGCGGUAAUACGGAGGAUGCGAGCGUUAUCCGGAUUCAUUGGGUUUAAAGGGUGCGUAGGCGGAUUUUUAAGUCAGCGGUAAAAUGUCCGGGCUCAACCCGGGCCGGCCGUUGAAACUGGGGG
This 305-nucleotide ribosomal RNA is filed under the name uncultured bacterium. RNAcentral's name for it is "bacterial SSU rRNA". It matches the Rfam family "Bacterial small subunit ribosomal RNA", at positions 336 to 639 of the family's 1533-position model. The record is from RNAcentral.